GUGCUUGCUUUGGCAGCACAUAUACCAAAAUUGAAUGAUACAGAGAAGAUUAGCAUGGCCCCUGCACAAGGAUGACAUGCAAAUUUAUGAAGUAAAUUUGAGAGGUUGUU
Molecule: non-coding RNA, 110 nt
Organism: Nomascus leucogenys (northern white-cheeked gibbon)
Lineage: Eukaryota; Metazoa; Chordata; Mammalia; Primates; Hylobatidae
Source: Rfam